AGCAUAUCAAUAAGCGGAGGAAAAGAAACCAACAGGGAUUGCCCUAGUAACGGCGAGUGAAGCGGCAACAGCUCAAAUUUGAAAUCUGGCGCAAGCCCGAGUUGUAAUUUGUAGAGGAUGCUUCUAGGUAGCGACCGGUCUAAGUUCCUUGGAACAGGACGUCAUAGAGGGUGAGAAUCCCGUAUGUGACCGGCCCGCACCUUCUACGUAGCUCCUUCGACGAGUCGAGUUGUUUGGGAAUGCAGCUCUAAAUGGGAGGUAAAUUUCUUCUAAAGCUAAAUACCGGCCAGAGACCGAUAGCGCACAAGUAGAGUGAUCGAAAGAUGAAAAGCACUUUGGAAAGAGAGUUAAAAAGCACGUGAAAUUGUUGAAAGGGAAGCGCUCACAACCAGACUUCUGGGCGGUGUUCCGCCGGUCUUCUGACCGGUCUACUCGCCGUCCCGAGGCCAACAUCAUCUGGGACCGCUGGAUAAGACCUCAGGAAUGUAGCUUCCCUCGGGAAGUGUUAUAGCCUGUGGUGAUGCAGCGCGUCUCGGGUGAGGUCCGCGCUUCGGCAAGGAUGUUGGCGUAAUGGUUGUCAGCGGCCCGUCUUGAAACACGGACCAAGGAGUCUAACAUCUAUGCGAGUGUUCGGGUGUUAAACCCCUACGCGUAAUGAAAGUGAACGGAGGUGGGAAGCGUAAGCUGCACCAUCGACCGAUCCUGAUGUCCUCGGAUGGAUUUGAGUAAGAGCAUAGCUGUUGGGACCCGAAAGAUGGUGAACUAUGCCUGAAUAGGGUGAAGCCAGAGGAAACUCUGGUGGAGGCUCGCAGCGGUUCUGACGUGCAAAUCGAUCGUCAAAUUUGGGUAUAGGGGCGAAAGACUAAUCGAACCAU
This 875-nucleotide ribosomal RNA is filed under the name Ramularia cynarae. RNAcentral describes it as "eukaryotic LSU rRNA". It matches the Rfam family "Eukaryotic large subunit ribosomal RNA", at positions 37 to 943 of the family's 3401-position model. Lineage: Eukaryota; Fungi; Ascomycota; Dothideomycetes; Mycosphaerellales; Mycosphaerellaceae. The record is from RNAcentral.